This 243-nucleotide long non-coding RNA is filed under the name Phoenix dactylifera (date palm). RNAcentral's name for it is "long non-coding RNA (PDAC_LNC020994)". The record is from RNAcentral. Lineage: Eukaryota; Viridiplantae; Streptophyta; Magnoliopsida; Arecales; Arecaceae.
UAGAUGCAUUGAAGUGGUAAGGGUAAAAUUGGAAGGAAUCAAAAGUUAAUGGCAUAACGGUAGAUAUGUUGAAGUGUUAGGGGCAAAAUGGGAAUUUAAUAAUAUUAAACAAAAGGUGAAUAGUGUUUUGAUGUGAUUUAAUUAGGGGGUUUGCUGUGGCUUUUGGAUGGAAACCGAGAGAGAGUCACAGGGGAGUCUCAGACGGACAGAGAGGAAGAAAAAGAAGGAGAGGAAAGGAAAGGA